CCCCUAGUAACUGCGAGUGAAGCGGGAAAAGCUCAAAUUUAAAAUCUGGCAGUCUUUGGCUGUCCGAGUUGUAGUCUGGAGAAGCGUUUUCCGCGCUGGACCGUGUACAAGUCUCCUGGAACGGAGCGUCAUAGAGGGUGAGAAUCCCGUCUUUGACACGGACUACCAGUGCUUUGUGAUGCGCUCUCAAAGAGUCGAGUUGUUUGGGAAUGCAGCUCAAAAUGGGUGGUAAACUCCAUCUAAAGCUAAAUAUUGGCGAGAGACCGAUAGCGAACAAGUACCGUGAGGGAAAGAUGAAAAGCACUUUGGAAAGAGAGUUAAACAGUACGUGAAAUUGCUGAAAGGGAAACGCUUGAAGUCAGUCGCGUUUGCUAGGACUCAGCCUUGCCUCGGCUUGGUGCACUUCCUAGUUAACGGGCCAGCAUCACUUUUGGCUGCGGGAAAAAGGUCAGAGGAAUGUGGCACCUUCGGGUGUGUUAUAGCCUCUGGUUGUAUACCGUGGCUGGGAGUGAGGAUCUCAGCACGCCUUUAUGGCGGGGCUUCGGCCACCUUCGUGCUUAGGAUGCUGGCGUAAUGGCUUUAAACGACCCGUCUUGAAACACGGACCAAGGAGUCUAACAUGCCUGCGAGUGUUUGGGUGGAAAACCCGAGCGCGUAAUGAAAGUGAAAGUUGGGACCUCUGUCGUGGAGGGCACCGACGCCCGGACCAGACCUUCUGUGACGGAUCCGCGGUAGAGCAUGUAUGUUGGGACCCGAAAGAUGGUGAACUAUGCCUGAAUAGGGUGAAGCCAGAGGAAACUCUGGUGGAGGCUCGUAGCGAUUCUGACGUGCAAAUCGAUCGUCAAAUUUGGGUAUAGGGGCGAAAGACUAAUCGAACCAUCUAGUAGCUGGUUCCUGCCGA
Molecule: ribosomal RNA, 901 nt
Filed under: Phanerochaete fuscomarginata
Lineage: Eukaryota; Fungi; Basidiomycota; Agaricomycetes; Polyporales; Phanerochaetaceae
Description: partial large subunit ribosomal RNA
Rfam family: Eukaryotic large subunit ribosomal RNA
Source: RNAcentral